This 497-nucleotide ribosomal RNA is filed under the name uncultured bacterium. RNAcentral's name for it is "partial 16S ribosomal RNA". It matches the Rfam family "Bacterial small subunit ribosomal RNA", at positions 28 to 507 of the family's 1533-position model. The record is from RNAcentral.
GAUGAACGCUGGCGGCGUGCCUAAUACAUGCAAGUCGAGCGAACAGACGAGGAGCUUGCUCCUCUGACGUUAGCGGCGGACGGGUGAGUAACACGUGGAUAACCUACCUAUAAGACUGGGAUAACUUCGGGAAACCGGAGCUAAUACCGGAUAAUAUAUUGAACCGCAGGGUUCAAUAGUGAAAGACGGUUUUGCGGUCACUUAUAGAUGGAUCCGCGCCGCAUUAGCUAGUUGGUAAGGUAACGGCUUACCAAGGCAACGAUGCGUAGCCGACCUGAGAGGGUGAUCGGCCACCCUGGAGGGGAGACGCGGUCCAGACUCCUACGGGAGGCAGCAGUAGGGAAUCUGCCGCAAUGGGCGAAAGCUUGACGGAGCAACGCCGCGUGAGUGAUGAAGGUCUUCGGAUCGUAAAGCUCUGUUAUUAGGGAAGAACAAAUGUGUAAGUAACUAUGCACGUCUUGACGGUACCUAAUCAGAAAGCCACGGCUAACUACGUG